Molecule: ribosomal RNA, 450 nt
Filed under: uncultured bacterium
Lineage: Bacteria
Description: partial 16S ribosomal RNA
Rfam family: Bacterial small subunit ribosomal RNA
Source: RNAcentral
CCUACGGGGGGCUGCAGUAAGGAAUAUUGGUCAAUGGACGCAAGUCUGAACCAGCCAUGCCGCGUGGAGGAUGAAGGUCCUCUGGAUUGUAAACUUCUUUUAUUUGGGAAGAAACUCCCGAUUUCCAUCGGGAUUGACGGUACCAGAUGAAUACGCACCGGCUAACUCCGUGCCAGCAGCCGCGGUAAUACGGAGGGUGCAAGCGUUAUCCGGUUUCACUGGGUUUUAGGUGUGCGGGGGUGGCAAGGUAGAAAUCUCCGAGCUUAACCCUGAAACUGCCAUUGAUACUAUUUGUCUUGAAUACGCUGGAGGUGAGCGGAAUAUGUCAUGUAGCGGUGAAAUGCGUAGAUAUGACAUAGAACACCCAUUGCGAAGGCAGCUCACUACGGAAAUAUUGACGCUGAGGCACGAAAGCGUGGGGAUCAAACAGGAUUAGAUACCCGUGUAGUC